CGGCCGCAGAGUUUGAUCAUGGCUCAGAUUGAACGCUGGCGGCAGGCCUAGCACAUGCAAGUCGAACGGUAGCACAGAGAGCUUGCUCUCGGGUGACGAGUGGCGGACGGGUGAGUAAUGUCUGGGAAACUGCCUGAUGGAGGGGGAUAACUACUGGAAACGGUAGCUAAUACCGCAUAACGUCGCAAGACCAAAGAGGGGGACCUUCGGGCCUCUUGCCAUCAGAUGUGCCCAGAUGGGAUUAGCUAGUAGGUGGGGUAACGGCUCACCUAGGCGACGAUCCCUAGCUGGUCUGAGAGGAUGACCAGCCACACUGGAACUGAGACACGGUCCAGACUCCUACGGGAGGCAGCAGUGGGGAAUAUUGCACAAUGGGCGCAAGCCUGAUGCAGCCAUGCCGCGUGUAUGAAGAAGGCCUUCGGGUUGUAAAGUACUUUCAGCGGGGAGGAAGGUGUUGUGGCUAAUAACCGCAGCAAUUGACGUUACCCGCAGAAGAAGCACCGGCUAACUCCGUGCCAGCAGCCGCGGUAAUACGGAGGGUGCAAGCGUUAAUCGGAAUUACUGGGCGUAAAGCGCACGCAGGCGGUCUGCCAAGUCGG
This 599-nucleotide ribosomal RNA is filed under the name uncultured Gammaproteobacteria bacterium. RNAcentral's name for it is "bacterial SSU rRNA". It matches the Rfam family "Bacterial small subunit ribosomal RNA", at positions 1 to 591 of the family's 1533-position model. The record is from RNAcentral. Lineage: Bacteria; Pseudomonadati; Pseudomonadota; Gammaproteobacteria.